RNAcentral lists this ribosomal RNA (120 nucleotides) under Thinopyrum intermedium. The record is from RNAcentral. Lineage: Eukaryota; Viridiplantae; Streptophyta; Magnoliopsida; Poales; Poaceae.
GGAUGCGAUCAUACCAGCACUAAUGCACCGGAUCCCAUCAGAACUCCGAAGUUAAGCGUGCUUGGGCGAGAGUAGUACUAGGAUGGGUGACCUCCUGGGAAGUCCUCGUGUUGCAUUCCC